Molecule: long non-coding RNA, 3519 nt
Filed under: Lupinus angustifolius (narrow-leaved blue lupine)
Lineage: Eukaryota; Viridiplantae; Streptophyta; Magnoliopsida; Fabales; Fabaceae
Description: long non-coding RNA (LANG_LNC000234)
Source: RNAcentral
AUGUCUCUUGAAUUUCAAUAUUAGAUUCUGUCCACCUUUAUAUCUUGUGCCCAGGGAAGGGAAUCUAGAUUAUAGUGUAUACUUUAUCUUGUCAUAGUCAGAACCAAAAACUUUUAAAAAGAAAAGUUAAGCUAUUAUCUUGGCAUGAGGUUCCAACUCUUUCUUUCAACUUGUAUUUUAAAAAGCAAUGAUAUGCUUCUGCAUUAUUCCUUUGUAACUACGGAUGAGACUGAGUAAUGAGUAAGCUUGUUUUUCCCAAGAUUUAAUUAUGCAUUUGGUUUUCAAGCUUUUGUAACUACUGAUGUUAAGUAAUACUAAACAUUUUGUUUGUUGUUUUUGUAUAGCUUGAGAAAUGGCAGCAGAGACCUUUCUAUUCACUUCUGAAUCUGUCAAUGAGGGUCACCCUGACAAGCUGUGUGAUCAGAUAUCCGAUGCAGUUCUUGAUGCCUGCCUUGAACAGGAUCCUGACAGCAAGGUUGCCUGUGAGACAUGCACCAAGACUAACAUGGUCAUGGUCUUUGGAGAGAUUACAACCAAGGCCAAUGUUGACUACGAGAAGAUUGUUCGAGACACGUGCCGCAACAUUGGAUUCAUCUCUGAUGAUGUAGGUCUUGAUGCUGACAAGUGCAAGGUUUUGGUCAACAUUGAGCAGCAGAGCCCUGAUAUUGCUCAGGGUGUGCAUGGCCACUUCACUAAGCAACCAGAGGAGGUUGGUGCUGGUGAUCAGGGUCACAUGUUUGGGUAUGCCACUGAUGAAACCCCCGAGUUAAUGCCAUUGAGCCACGUUCUUGCAACCAAAUUAGGAGCUAAGCUUACCGAUGUUAGGAAGAAUGGCACCUGCCCAUGGCUGAGACCAGAUGGUAAGACACAAGUAACUGUUGAGUACUACAAUGAAAAUGGUGCCAUGGUUCCCAUUCGAGUCCACACUGUCCUCAUUUCUACCCAGCAUGAUGAGACUGUCACUAAUGAUCAAAUUGCUGCUGAUCUUAAAGAGCAUGUUAUCAAGCCUGUCAUUCCUGAGAAGUACCUAGAUGAGAAGACCAUCUUUCACCUUAACCCUUCUGGCCGAUUUGUCAUCGGUGGACCUCAUGGUGAUGCUGGUCUCACCGGAAGAAAGAUUAUCAUCGACACUUAUGGUGGCUGGGGUGCUCACGGAGGCGGUGCAUUCUUCUUUAUAUAUUGACUACAUCAUUAGUUUAAAUUCCUUAUAUUUUAAGAGUGAUUGAGUGAAUAAUGAUUAUAGGAAGAAAGACGUAAUAAGCAUCUUUAUCCAGUCAGGGUUGGUGAGUGACCUGCAGUAUCCGGUAUCUCAAAUUUCAUCUCUCACCAACCUCAACAAAUCCCAUUCCUUCAUUUUGGCCGUUAAAUCUAACGGCCAACCACUUCUCCCGGUAACCCCUCAUGUAAGGUGCGUGGCAUUCAUCAAUCUAUGUAUUGAUAGUGUAAUAUGGUAUUAUAGAUUAUUCAUUUUUAAUAUUUAUUAAUGAAUAUUAAAUAAAAUUAUUAUAUAUGAAUAAUGAAUGAUAUAUUAAUUAUGUAUCAUGGUGUUUGUAUCACAUAUUCAUAAAUUUUCUCUCCACUAAAAAGUUUGAUUCAUGUAAACGAUAUUUAUUGGGAAAAACAUAUAGAAUCCUGAAAGAAAUUAAUUACUUACCAUAAAGGUGAUGAUGAAAGGAUACUUUUGGUUAUCUUUGAUUAAAUAUUUAUACAUUAUAAUUCAUUACUAUUAUUAAAUGUAAUAACUAUUUUAAUAUCUAUUAAUUAUUAUAAAUUAUAUAAAUAUAAAAGUGAAGUCGUAAAUUCUUACCCACCCCAUUAGCAUCCCUAUAAAUAAGUGUCCUUAACUAGCAUCAGUCAUUCCAAAUUCUCAGCGAGUGUUGUACACGCGCUCUCGUUUCAACCUCUUUUACUCACUCGCUCCAGGUUCGUAAACCUUCUCGUUCCAUUUUCCUUCUUUGUCUUCUUUUCAAGUAUUUAAAAUUGGAACAUUGUUAUAGAUCUGAAUUUAAUUUAUACCGUUUUUGAGUUUCUGGAUCUGUUAAAGGUUUUUAAGUUUUCAAUUCGUUUUUUUUUGUUUCUAUUUAGAUCUGAUGCUGUUCAUGUAUUAUGAUUUUUCACUAGUGAUUUUAGUUUUGUUGAGGCUGAUUUAGUUGGAUUAGGAUCAUGGGGUCCAAGAUUAGAUUAUUUUCAAUUUGGAACUCAAGAGUUUUGAAAUGGUAUUUGGGAAAGAUUAUUUUUUUAUGCAUAAACUAUUUGUUUGAGUGUUUGGGGUUUUUUUGGUACUACCAACUAUCUAUCACCUUUUGGCUAAGGAACUAUGUGUGUGACCCUCCCAACAAGUGUCGCUGUCAUUAAUCGAAUUUUGACCUUUUGGUCAUCGUGGUAUCUAGCAGCGCCUUACAUUACUCGACCAAGACUGUGUGUAGUGUUUGGGGUUUAAUUAAACUUGCUUAAAAUAUACUACCUGUAUCCCUUUUUAUCUUUCCAUUUGAAGAUUUUUUUUAUCCUAUUUAUUAUCUAUUCAAUUUAGAAUUGUGCAUUAAUUGAUAUUACUAUAUUUAUUGGUGGAAACGUUAAUGGCUACAAAGAUAGAAAUGGUAUAUUAGAAAAAACUAUAUCAUAAUUGUCAUCUAAAUCACCACAAUUGUUUUUGUUUUUAUUUUUUUAAAAUGUGUGUUUUGAAAUGAGACAAAUAAAUAGAACCUAUAAAAAAGGUUUUUUUGUACGUGGAAGAUGAUUCUUGAAGAAGCUGGAUUAUGAAAAUUGAGCAGUAAUUCAAAAACGUUGUUUGAUUAUUUGAAACCUUUUCCCCAUUUCACAAGAAACUACCGAAUAUUAUUUAUCUAUCUAAAUAACUUUUCAUACUAUUUUUGGUUAUUUAGUGUAUGAAGUGAUUUUUUUAGACAACCAAUCAUUUUCAGCAAAACAUCACAUAAGUAUAAUAAAUUGAUUCCAUUAUAAUUGAUUAUGACAAUAAUCAAUUAUUGAAAUAAUUUAUUUUUCAUAGAUAGUUAGUCCAGAGACUCAUUGUGCUUGCUCCCAUGUCUCUUGAAUUUCAAUAUUAGAUUCUGUCCACCUUUAUAUCUUGUGCCCAGGGAAGGGAAUCUAGAUUAUAGUGUAUACUUUAUCUUGUCAUAGUCAGAACCAAAAACUUUUAAAAAGAAAAGUUAAGCUAUUAUCUUGGCAUGAGGUUCCAACUCUUUCUUUCAACUUGUAUUUUAAAAAGCAAUGAUAUGCUUCUGCAUUAUUCCUUUGUAACUACGGAUGAGACUGAGUAAUGAGUAAGCUUGUUUUUCCCAAGAUUUAAUUAUGCAUUUGGUUUUCAAGCUUUUGUAACUACUGAUGUUAAGUAAUACUAAACAUUUUGUUUGUUGUUUUUGUAUAGCUUGAGAAAUGGCAGCAGAGACCUUUCUAUUCACUUCUGAAUCUGUCAAUGAGGGUCACCCUGACAAGCUGUGUGAUCAGAUAUCCGAUGCAGUUCUUGAUGCCUGCCUUGAACAGGAUCCUGACAGCAAGGUU